RNAcentral lists this ribosomal RNA (225 nucleotides) under uncultured Acinetobacter sp. RNAcentral's name for it is "partial 16S ribosomal RNA". It matches the Rfam family "Bacterial small subunit ribosomal RNA", at positions 568 to 792 of the family's 1533-position model. Lineage: Bacteria; Pseudomonadati; Pseudomonadota; Gammaproteobacteria; Moraxellales; Moraxellaceae. The record is from RNAcentral.
UGCGUAGGCGGCUUUUUAAGUCGGAUGUGAAAUCCCUGAGCUUAACUUAGGAAUUGCAUUCGAUACUGGAAAGCUAGAGUAUGGGAGAGGAUGGUAGAAUUCCAGGUGUAGCGGUGAAAUGCGUAGAGAUCUGGAGGAAUACCGAUGGCGCAGGCAGCCAUCUGGCCUAAUACUGACGCUGAGGUACGAAAGUAUGGGGAGCAAAACGGAUUAGAUACCCCCGUA